Molecule: ribosomal RNA, 489 nt
Filed under: uncultured bacterium
Lineage: Bacteria
Description: partial 16S ribosomal RNA
Rfam family: Bacterial small subunit ribosomal RNA
Source: RNAcentral
GAUGAACGCUAGCGGCAGGCUUAAUACAUGCAAGUCGAGGGGCAGCAGGACUGUAGCAAUACAGUUGCUGGCGACCGGCAAACGGGUGCGGAACACGUACGCAACCUACCCAAAACUGGGGGAUAGCCCGGGGAAACCCGGAUUAAUACCUCGUAACCUUUUUAAGUGGCAUCACUUGAUAAGUAUAGCUCCGGCGGUUUUGGAUGGGCGUGCGCCUGAUUAGGUAGUUGGUGCGGGUAACGGCCCACCAAGCCUGCGAUCAGUAACUGGUGUGAGAGCACGACCAGUCACACGGGCACUGAGACACGGGCCCGACUCCUACGGGAGGCAGCAGUAAGGAAUAUUGGUCAAUGGACGCAAGUCUGAACCAGCCAUGCCGCGUGAAGGAUGAAGGUCCUCUGGAUUGUAAACCUCUUUUAUGGGGGACGAAACCCGGAUAUUCUUAUCCGAUUGACGGUACCUCAGGAAUAAGCACCGGCUAACUCCGUG